AUACGGAGGAUCCGAGCGUUAUCCGGAUUUAUUGGGUUUAAAGGGUGCGCAGGCGGCCAUUUAAGUCAGCGGUUAAAUCGUGGGGCUCAACCCCAUUCUGCCGUUGAUACUGGGUGGCUUGAUUGCGGUCGAGGUUGGCGGAAUUCGUUGUGUAGCGGUGAAAUGCAUAGAUAUGACGAAGAACACCGAUUGCGUAGGCAGCUGACCAGACCGCAAAUGACGCUCAUGCACGAAAGUGCGGGGAUCGAACAGUAUUAGAUACCCUGGUAGUCCGCACAGUAAACGAUGAAUCCUUGUUUUCGGCGAUAUAAUGUCGGAGGCAAAGCGAAAGCGAUAAGUAUUCCACCUGGGGAGUACGCCGGCAACGGUGAAACUCAAAUGAAUUUGCGGGG
Molecule: ribosomal RNA, 392 nt
Filed under: uncultured bacterium
Lineage: Bacteria
Description: partial 16S ribosomal RNA
Rfam family: Bacterial small subunit ribosomal RNA
Source: RNAcentral